AACAAGGCGUACCUGCGGACCUGCGGAAGGAUCAUUACCGAGUUUACAACUCCCAAACCCCUGUGAACAUACCACUUGUUGCCUCGGCGGAUCAGCCCGCUCCCGGUAAAACGGGACGGCCCGCCAGAGGACCCCUAAACUCUGUUUCUAUAUGUAACUUCUGAGUAAAACCAUAAAUAAAUCAAAACUUUUAACAAUGGAUCU
RNAcentral lists this unclassified non-coding RNA (204 nucleotides) under soil metagenome. RNAcentral's name for it is "partial contains 5.8S ribosomal RNA, internal transcribed spacer 2, and large subunit ribosomal RNA". The record is from RNAcentral.